RNAcentral lists this ribosomal RNA (253 nucleotides) under uncultured bacterium. Its description in RNAcentral is "partial 16S ribosomal RNA". It matches the Rfam family "Bacterial small subunit ribosomal RNA", at positions 524 to 776 of the family's 1533-position model. The record is from RNAcentral.
UACGUAGGGGGUUAGCGUUGUCCGGAAUCAUUGGGCGUAAAGCGCGUGUAGGCGGCCCGGUAAGUCCGCUGUGAAAGUCGGGGGCUCAACCCUCGGAUGCCGGUGGAUACUGUCGGGCUCGAGUCCGGAAGAGGAGUGUGGAAUUCCUGGUGUAGCGGUGAAAUGCGCAGAUAUCAGGAGGAACACCAAUGGCGAAGGCAGCACUCUGGGACGUGACUGACGCUGAGACGCGAAAGCGUGGGGAGCAAACAGG